GGAGGGUUGGCAGAGUGGUCGAUUGCACUGGUCUUGAAAACCAGCGAGGGGGCAACCUCUCCGUGAGUUCGAAUCUCACACCCUCCGCCA
RNAcentral lists this transfer RNA (90 nucleotides) under Betaproteobacteria bacterium. Its description in RNAcentral is "tRNA-Ser". It matches the Rfam family "tRNA". From Rfam's summary of the family: Transfer RNA (tRNA) molecules are approximately 80 nucleotides in length. Their secondary structure includes four short double-helical elements and three loops (D, anti-codon, and T loops). RNAcentral also lists the same sequence under 1 other name. The record is from RNAcentral. Lineage: Bacteria; Pseudomonadati; Pseudomonadota; Betaproteobacteria.